This is a non-coding RNA of Zootermopsis nevadensis, 526 nucleotides long. The record is from RefSeq and is a predicted model, not a curated record. NCBI's taxonomy places the organism in Eukaryota, Metazoa, Arthropoda, Insecta, Blattodea, Termopsidae.
UUGGUGUCACUCGGCACGGCCUGGUCUGUGCACGGAACGGCCAGGCAGCAUGAUAGCUGAUUCCAAAAAAAAAACCGACCGUCCUUCUCACUCCAUUGUUCAACAGGAACUGAUGCUAUUUUUCACACAGACAUUUUUUUGAAACGGAUCGGGAAAGCGUGGAGUUGCGCGCGCAGUGCUUGUCAUCUUGCUCGUCACCCCUGCACCAAUAACUCACUCGAUGCGGCCGAACGACGAACGUGGCGUCCACCAGGCCAACGGAGAGGAUGACGGAAAUAUCGGAACACCCACAGCCACUGGUCUGCGUGGACCCUACUUCGAACCCUUGGCUUCCAAAAACGUAACAGCACUGGUCGGCAAAACAGCGUACCUCAACUGCCGAGUCCGUAACCUUGGAAACAAGACGCGCUGUGAGCAGUGAGGCUGUAUGAAAUCCACGGAACGAAGGAGGCUAGAAUAUUUCUGGGUACUUAUUUGCUUACAGCUAUGAAACAGAACAGUAAAUAAACAUUUUGCGAUGCCACUG